CUAGACAGAUGGGCCUCGAUCCCAUGAAACUCUAGUUAACAGCUAGAUGCCCUAAACCAGCAGGCUUCCGUCUA
This 74-nucleotide transfer RNA is filed under the name Haematopus ostralegus (Eurasian oystercatcher). RNAcentral describes it as "tRNA-Asn". Lineage: Eukaryota; Metazoa; Chordata; Aves; Charadriiformes; Haematopodidae. The record is from RNAcentral.